Molecule: long non-coding RNA, 594 nt
Organism: Trifolium pratense (red clover)
Lineage: Eukaryota; Viridiplantae; Streptophyta; Magnoliopsida; Fabales; Fabaceae
Exons: 2
Source: RefSeq, a predicted model, not a curated record
UUAGUUGCUUGUUUUAAGUAUUUAUAAAUAGAUAUAGAAGAAUAUAGGUAUGAGUGUCAAUAAUAACCAUAAUUAUAUUGUUAAUGUUAUGUAGGCUAGUAAAGAGGGAAGAAAUUGAUGUGUGUGGUGUGUGUGAGUAAGAGUGAGAUUAGAAAUGUGAGUGAGGUGGAGAGAUGGAGAGGUGUGAGAGAGAUAAGAGAAAGAAGGUGAAUGAAUAGAGAGGAGAGAAAAAGUAGAAUUCAAUGAAAAAAAGAAGAGGGAGUGUGUGAGUUGAAGGAGAUAAAGUGAAAAUGAUGGGUUUGAAAUUGUAGGAGGAGUUGGUUUAUAUAGGGUUGAUGGAUUCAUCUAUGGAAAACACUUGUUCAUUGGCAUACAUGCAUGAUGCCACUUGUUUUUUCACUUCUAUACACAUGUCACAUGAAGCAAGUAAUAGAAGGAAGGUUGCAUGUGAUAGUUGACUUAGUGAAGCACUUUGUGAAGCAAGUAGUGGCAAGAUAUAAUUGGAUGAAAACAAACCUAUGUUGGCAAGAUACAAUUGGACAUGAGACAAAUGUGUUAAGCAUUGAUUGGCCAAUGAAUUAGGGUUUACAAUUA